UAUNGCCUUUUAAAGAUGUCGCAAUUCAAUAGUUUUACGCAAUGUCUUCAUUUAGUUGCGUUUUUCUCCGUUCUCAAAAUCCGUUAAAAACAUCAAAUAAUAAAAAAAAAAAUUCUGACGACAUAUUAUCAUAUAUAGAUAAAAUGUAGUCCAGAAUUGUAGAAAAGUCUAAGAAUUUUAUUCUUGAAAUUUCAUGAACUCGAUGAUAAAAAAAGUUUGAAAAAACAAAGGUUUAAAAAAUCAUUUGCUCUAAAGAUUACGCCUUCACUGAUAUCUAAAAAAAAAAAUUUUUUUUUAAAUAUGUUUUGCAUAUUGGCUUAUAAAAUAUUUUACACGAGCGGUUUAUUAACAAUGUAAGAUAUAAAAGCUGAAUUAAUCAUAUUUCUUAUUGAAAAUGCAUAUUAACUAAAUCCUCAAGGAUUUAUGCAUUAUCAAGACUUCAUGUAUCUGACAGAGCAAUCAGAUUGUUAAAUGAAAUCAUUGAUACGAACAAAAGGUUCCAUUUUCUACAAGUUUUAUCCCCAUCAUUUCUCUGGUGUUUCUAGUUUAAGAAGAUGUAAAAUUUAUGAAAAGUUCCAUUUAUCUCUUUUGUUGUUGUGUCGUAAUAUAUGUACCGUAGUUGAUAAUAAAUUCUAUUUCCCUUUAAUGUAAGAAUUCAGUUCAUUGUUCCUGUACAGAAAGGUGCAAUAAAAGUUGUUAUUGUAAA
Molecule: non-coding RNA, 706 nt
Organism: Parasteatoda tepidariorum (common house spider)
Lineage: Eukaryota; Metazoa; Arthropoda; Arachnida; Araneae; Theridiidae
Source: RefSeq, a predicted model, not a curated record